Molecule: long non-coding RNA, 236 nt
Filed under: Phoenix dactylifera (date palm)
Lineage: Eukaryota; Viridiplantae; Streptophyta; Magnoliopsida; Arecales; Arecaceae
Description: long non-coding RNA (PDAC_LNC017767)
Source: RNAcentral
ACAUACUGAGUCAUAAAAUGCUUUACUAAAUUGUAAAUGACCCAGCAAAUAGCAUAAAAAAAAUCCUAUGCUCCACAGUAUAAUCCUAUACUUAAUCCUGACUCACCCUAUUGCUCCGACAGGACUCUUGUUUAACCUUUGCUCUGAUACCAAGUUUUGUCACGACCCCCGCCCCGUUCCCGGCGGGCCGCCGCGACGGUCCUAGGGUGCGGGUAGGCAUAAGGUCACCAGCCACC